This 1651-nucleotide ribosomal RNA is filed under the name Ophiocordyceps sinensis. RNAcentral describes it as "SSU rRNA". It matches the Rfam family "Bacterial small subunit ribosomal RNA". Lineage: Eukaryota; Fungi; Ascomycota; Sordariomycetes; Hypocreales; Ophiocordycipitaceae. The record is from RNAcentral.
UAAUGGUUGAGUUUGGUGAUGGCUCUGAUUGAAUGCUGUUCAAGUGCUUGACACAUGCUAAUCGUACGUUUUAAUUUCUAACAUUAAGUAACUACUAUACUAAAGGUUAUUAAUUAAAAAGUGGUGUACAGGUGAGUAUAAAGAUAUAAUUCGCCGGCCUUAAAGAGAAGGUAAAUCCUUCAUAAUAAAUAAAAGGGUACAGUUCCUGCUUUAAGAGGAUGAUAAAUAUCUUCGGGAUAGGUAGUAGUUAAGGUGAUGACUUAACUAGCCGACAACUCUCGUAGUCGAAUCUGAAAGGUUGAUCGACCACAUUGGGUCUGAAAAAACCCCAAUGCAAAUUAGUACAGCAGUGAGGAAUUUUGGUCAAUGGCCUAACGGCUGAACUGGCAACUUGGAGAAGUGGCAAGUCCUAUUUUGAUCAUAUCCUAAAAGAUGAUCUAUAGGAUUGUAUUAAAAUUGAAUAAAGCUUUGUUUAUAUAUUGAUAAUGACAGUAUAUAUAUCGUGUCUUGACUAAUUACGUGCCAGCAGUCGCGGAAAUACGUAAGAGACUAGUAUUAUUCAUCUUAAUUGGGUUUAAAGGGUACCUAGACGGUCAAUAUAGCUUAUAUAAUGUUAGUACUUGACUAGAGUUUUAUAUGAGAGGGGAGUACUUGAGGAGGAGAGAUGAAAUUCUUUGAUACCAAAGGGACUCGGUAAAGGCGAAGGCACCCCUUUAGGUAAAAACUGACGUUGAGGGACGAAGGCACAGAGAACAAACAGGAUUAGAUACCCAAGUAGUCUUUGCAGUAAAUGAUGAAUGCCAUAGAUUAGAUGAAGAAUGGUCUAUAAAUGAAAGUGUAAGCAUUCCACCUCAAGAGUAAUGUGGCAACGCAGGAACUGAAAUCACUAGACCGUUUCUGACAACAGUAGUGCAGUAUGUGCUGUUUAAUUCGAUAAUACACGAAAAACCUUACCACAAUUUGUAUAAUAAUAUUACAGGAGUUGCACGGCUGUUUUCAGUUAAUGUUGUGAAACUAUGGUUUCCAUGUAAUUAACGAAAUCCCUGGCUUUAUUUUUGGAUGCGCUAGUCCCUCCGGGACCAGCAAGCUCUUAAUUUUUACUUAUUUUAGUUAUGAGGCGCAUGAAAGCGCUCUCAGAAUAAAAAAAGAGCUUGCGCCCUAAAAAAGAUUUUUAGGGCUCGCUACUACGAUAAGGCAUUAGAUCCUGGAUAUUUGGAUAGAAAAAGGGGACAAAGACAAGUCAUCAUGGCCUUUAUAUUGUGGGCUAUAAACGUGCUACAUCUUCCUAGACAAAGAGAUGCAAAAAUGUGAAUUUAAGCUAAUCUCAAAAAAUAGGAUAAAAAUUUUAAGGAUUGUAGUCUGAAAUUCGACUACAUGAAUAAGUAAUUACUAGUAAUCGUGAAUCACCAUGUCACGGUGAAUUACUCUCGGAUUGGUACUAACCACUCGUCACAUGCUGAAAAGAGCUUAUGCAAUAAGUUUGCUUUCUUAGUAAUUAGUAAAAAAAACAUGUAGGUUUUGUGUAGAUAUGUUAUCUAUGAACAGCACCAAAGCUGUCUAUUAUUGGGAAUCUUCGUAUGCGCGGUUCUAAUUAGUGUUAAGUCGAAAUACGGUUCGUGUAGUGGAAGUUGCACGGGAUUAAUUAACAUAA